This 484-nucleotide ribosomal RNA is filed under the name uncultured bacterium. RNAcentral describes it as "partial 16S ribosomal RNA". It matches the Rfam family "Bacterial small subunit ribosomal RNA", at positions 29 to 523 of the family's 1533-position model. The record is from RNAcentral.
AGUGAACGCUGGCGGCGUGCUUAACACAUGCAAGUCGAACGAGAACGGGCUAUAGCUUGCUAUAGUUGUCAGCUAAGUGGCGCACGGGUGAGUAAUGUAUAGGUAAUAUGCCUCUUACUAAGGGAUAACAAAUGGAAACGUUUGCUAAUACCUUAUACUCCUUAUUAACAGAAGUUAAUAAGGGAAAGAUUUAUUGGUAAGAGAUUAGCCUGUAUUGUAUCAGUUAGUUGGUGGGGUAAUGGCUUACCAAGACAAAGACACAUAACUGGUUUGAGAGGAUGAUCAGUCACACUGGAACUGAGACACGGUCCAGACUCCUACGGGAGGCAGCAGUGGGGAAUAUUGCACAAUGGACGAAAGUCUGAUGCAGCAACGCCGCGUGGAGGAUGACACAUUUCGGUGCGUAAACUCCUUUUAUAUGAGAAGAUAAUGACGGUAUUAUAUGAAUAAGCACCGGCUAACUCCGUGCCAGCAGCCGCCGUAA